Molecule: ribosomal RNA, 253 nt
Filed under: uncultured bacterium
Lineage: Bacteria
Description: partial 16S ribosomal RNA
Rfam family: Bacterial small subunit ribosomal RNA
Source: RNAcentral
UACGGGGGGGGCAAGCGUUGUUCGGAAUUACUGGGCGUAAAGGGCUCGUAGGUGGCCAACUAAGUCAGACGUGAAAUCCCUCGGCUUAACCGGGGAACUGCGUCUGAUACUGCGUGGCUUGAAUUCGGGAGAGGGAUGCGGAAUUCCAGGUGUAGCGGUGAAAUGCGUAGAUAUCUGGAGGAACACCGGUGGCGAAGGCGGCAUCCUGGACCGAGAUUGACGCUGAGGCGCGAAAGCCAGGGGAGCAAACGGG